GACAGAGGUGCCGAGCGUUAGGCGGAAUCACUGGGCUUAAAGCGUGUGUAGGCGGACCGUUAAGUGUCUUGUGAAAUCCCACGGCUCAACCGUGGAACGGCUGGGCAUACUGGCGGUCUUGAGAGGCCUAGGGGCGAGCGGAACAGGCGGUGGAGCGGUGAAAUGCGUAGAUAUCGCCUGGAACGCCGACGGUGAAAACAGCUCGCUGGGGGCCUUCUGACGCUGAGACGACGAAAGCCAGGGGAG
Molecule: ribosomal RNA, 246 nt
Filed under: uncultured bacterium
Lineage: Bacteria
Description: partial 16S ribosomal RNA
Rfam family: Bacterial small subunit ribosomal RNA
Source: RNAcentral